Molecule: ribosomal RNA, 293 nt
Filed under: uncultured bacterium
Lineage: Bacteria
Description: partial 16S ribosomal RNA
Rfam family: Bacterial small subunit ribosomal RNA
Source: RNAcentral
GUGUCAGCAGCCGCGGUAAGACGAACCGUGCGAACGUUAUUCGGAAUCACUGGGCUUAAAGCGCGUGUAGGCGGGAGGGCACGUCCGUCGCUGAAAUCCCCCGGCUCAACCGGGGAACGGGCGCGGAUACGACCUUCCUGGAGGGGCGUAGGGGGACCUGGAACUUCCGGUGGAGCGGUGAAAUGCGUUGAGAUCGGAAGGAACGCCCGUGGCGAAAGCGAGGUCCUGGACGCCUACUGACGCUGAGACGCGAAAGCCAGGGGAGCGAACGGGAUUAGAUACCCCCGUAGUCC